Molecule: ribosomal RNA, 440 nt
Filed under: uncultured bacterium
Lineage: Bacteria
Description: partial 16S ribosomal RNA
Rfam family: Bacterial small subunit ribosomal RNA
Source: RNAcentral
CCUACGGGGGGCAGCAGUGGGGAAUAUUGCACAAUGGGGGAAACCCUGAUGCAGCGACGCCGCGUGAGUGAAGAAGUAUUUCGGUAUGUAAAGCUCUAUCAGCAGGGAAGAAAAUGACAGUACCUGAGUAAGAAGCCCCGGCUAACUACGUGCCAGCAGCCGCGGUAAUACGUAGGGGGCAAGCGUUAUCCGGAUUUACUGGGUGUAAAGGGAGCGUAGACGGCAGGGCAAGUCUGGAGUGAAAGGCGGGGGCUCAACCCCCGGACUGCUUUUGAAACUGUGUGGCUGGAGUGCAGGAGAGGUAAGUGGAAUUCCUAGUGUAGCGGUGAAAUGCGUAGAUAUUAGGAGGAACACCAGUGGCGAAGGCGGCUUACUGGACUGUAACUGACGUUGAGGCUCGAAAGCGUGGGGAGCAAACAGGAUUAGAUACCCUUGUAGUC